RNAcentral lists this ribosomal RNA (335 nucleotides) under uncultured Cellulomonas sp. RNAcentral's name for it is "bacterial SSU rRNA". It matches the Rfam family "Bacterial small subunit ribosomal RNA", at positions 1049 to 1382 of the family's 1533-position model. The record is from RNAcentral. Lineage: Bacteria; Bacillati; Actinomycetota; Actinomycetes; Micrococcales; Cellulomonadaceae.
UUGUCGUCAGCUCGUGUCGUGAGAUGUUGGGUUAAGUCCCGCAACGAGCGCAACCCUCGUCCUAUGUUGCCAGCGGGUCAUGCCGGGGACUCAUGGGAGACUGCCGGGGUCAACUCGGAGGAAGGUGGGAUGACGUCAAAUCAUCAUGCCCCUUAUGUCUUGGGCUUCACGCAUGCUACAAUGGCCGGUACAAAGGGCUGCGAUACCGCGAGGUGGAGCGAAUCCCAGAAAGCCGGUCUCAGUUCGGAUUGGGGUCUGCAACUCGACCCCAUGAAGUCGGAGUCGCUAGUAAUCGCAGAUCAGCAACGCUGCGGUCGAAUACGUUCCCGGGCCUU